This is a long non-coding RNA of Sapajus apella (tufted capuchin), 201 nucleotides long. RefSeq lists it as uncharacterized. NCBI's taxonomy places the organism in Eukaryota, Metazoa, Chordata, Mammalia, Primates, Cebidae. The transcript is spliced from 3 exons. The record is from RefSeq and is a predicted model, not a curated record.
AGAACUUUGCUAAAGUUGUUCAUCAGCUGAAGAAGCUUUUGGGCCAAGACUAUGGGGUUUUCUAAAUAUUGAAUCAUGUCAUCUGCAAAUAGAGACUGUUUGACUUUCUCUCUUCUUAUUUGAAGGCGGCUUUAUUUCUUCCUCUUGCAUGAUUGCGCUGGCCAGGACUUCAAAUAGAUAGAAGGUCUCAAAUUAACAACC